Molecule: long non-coding RNA, 1721 nt
Organism: Triticum aestivum (bread wheat)
Lineage: Eukaryota; Viridiplantae; Streptophyta; Magnoliopsida; Poales; Poaceae
Exons: 6
Source: RefSeq, a predicted model, not a curated record
AAUAAAAAAUGAUUUCUGGGCUGGUGCGGCGGUGCUCCCGAUCCCGAUCGGGAGCAGGAAAACGGCGGCAGAGAUCCAGGAGGCGGGAAACGGCGGGGAAGUGGCGGAGGUCGGGAUCCAUCCCGGUGGUUUGUAGUAGAGGCUGGCCGCGGCGGCGCUCCCGAUCCCCGAUCCGAUCGGUAGCAGGAUGACGGCGGCAGAGUUCCUGGAGGCGGGGAACGGUGGGGAAGUGGCGGAGGUCGGGAUCCAUCCCGACGGUUCGUAGUGGAGGCCGGCGGCGGCGGUGCUCCAUGGCUGUGGCGACUAGGUCUUCUGGGAAGAAGAUACAAGGGAGGGAGACGAGGUGAGAUGGAGAGAAUAGAAGGGAGAAUAGGGACUGCGUGGGUACCUGCUGCUGGUCCGACGGCGGCUCCGGUCAUCGGAUCAGGCCAACUCUUGAUGGAUUUCCAAUGUGUUGUUGGGCUCCCAAUUUUUUCCGUCGUGCAGUUGCUCCCCGUCUCCCUGUGUCGUCCCAAGAUGGUCCGACUGGGCGCUGUCCUGACGGCUGAGCGUGUGCUAUCCACGGAACACAGCUCCUCCACCUAGGCCCUCCUCCGUAACGCCGGCGAGGACACUACUUCGUCUGAACCGAUUAUCACAACCACGCACAGGAGCUCUAUGGCACAUGUAGCAGGUCUUGGGCAUGAUGGCCGGACGCGAUGAGGAGGACAUACUGGAUCCCCAUGGACGCCAAGGAUUCGAGGACAUUGGCAGAUGUAGAGGAGGCAAUGAGGACGGAGAUGAUUGCGGCACACAAUUUAAAUAAACUAGAAUAUCCUGAAAAUUAUAUUUGGUGUAUAGAAUUCAGUUUUAGUCUUUGAGUACAUUUUCAUGAUUCGCUUAUUCCAGUAGUGAGUAAAAAUAUGUAAAACUAUGUGACUUGUAAAUUUUUGAGUCUGUUGUGCGUCCCAACGAUUCCACCGGCAUCGGCCCUCCCCUACCGUGGUGCGGACUGCAGUAUUAGCUGUCUCCUUGGAGUCCUGAAGCAGCUCAAGGGCAUCGUCCUUGGUGCGCCUCCUCAAGGCUUGAUGCUUUCUACAGGAAAAAAUGAUUCUUUUCUUUGAGAUGAGGAAAAUUACUUCCCUUUCUACAGGAAAAGAUGGUUCUGUUAGAUAAAUGUCUUCCCAAGUUAAAGGCACAUGGCUCCGAAGUACUAAUAUUCUCUGAGGGGCACCAUAACAUAUGAAAAUUUUGAAGAGCUUUGUGAAGAUUUGUGGGAGCAGCUCCGACUCCAAUUAAAGAAGUUCCACGCAGCGGGCAUGAAGAUUGGUCACAUCUAUAUGUUUAGUUGUGCUGCAGUGAUUUACAGCCAGGGUUUACAGAUUGAUUUGAGAAAGUAUUUAACGCAAUUGGUCUCUUGGCAUAGGCUCAAGUAUAAAACUGAUAUGUAAUAUCUCCUUAUGUUUGUGCAAAUUGAUUUUGACAUGUGCUAUUCUGAAAAUGGAGCUUCUCUAUUGGAUGGCAGCUCAUGAUGGUAGUUUCAGAUAUGAAGCUAAGGAAAGCGUGCCUCAUAAUUCAUUAGAUGUAUCCCAGUAGGGCCAAUUAGAUAUUGUUGGUUGUAAAUGACAUGAGUUUUUAGCUUUCAUAAAAUCUAGAUUUGUACUCUUUAACAAUAAGCUGUGGAGGAGAGUGGUCUUAAAUGUGCUGGUUGAAUUUACCAAUGUUGGUUAUUUUGGUUUUAC